This 253-nucleotide ribosomal RNA is filed under the name uncultured bacterium. RNAcentral's name for it is "partial 16S ribosomal RNA". It matches the Rfam family "Bacterial small subunit ribosomal RNA", at positions 524 to 776 of the family's 1533-position model. The record is from RNAcentral.
UACGUAGGGUCCGAGCGUUGUCCGGAAUUAUUGGGCGUAAAGGGCUCGUAGGCGGUUCGUCACGUCGGGAGUGAAAACUCGGAGCUUAACUCCGAGCCUGCUUCCGAUACGGGCAGACUAGAGGUAGGCAGGGGAGAGCGGAACUCCUGGUGUAGCGGUGGAAUGCGCAGAUAUCAGGAAGAACACCCGUGGCGCAAGCGGCCACCUGGCAGAGACCUGACGCUGAGGCACGAAAGCGUGGGGAGCGAACCGG